RNAcentral lists this ribosomal RNA (554 nucleotides) under uncultured bacterium. Its description in RNAcentral is "partial 16S ribosomal RNA". It matches the Rfam family "Bacterial small subunit ribosomal RNA", at positions 355 to 900 of the family's 1533-position model. The record is from RNAcentral.
UAGGGAAUCUUCCACAAUGGACGCAAGUCUGAUGGAGCAACGCCGCGUGAGUGAAGAAGGCUUUCGGGUCGUAAAACUCUGUUAUUGAAGAAGAACGUGUGUGACAGUAACUGGUCAUGCAGUGACGGUAUUCAAUCAGAAAGUCACGGCUAACUACGUGCCAGCAGCCGCGGUAAUACGUAGGUGGCAAGCGUUGUCCGGAUUUAUUGGGCGUAAAGCGAGUGCAGGCGGUCUUUUAAGUCUGAUGUGAAAGCCUUCGGCUUAACCGAAGAAGGGCAUCGGAAACUGGGAGACUUGAGUGCAGAAGAGGAGAGUGGAACUCCAUGUGUAGCGGUGAAAUGCGUAGAUAUAUGGAAGAACACCAGUGGCGAAGGCGGCUCUCUGGUCUGUAACUGACGCUGAGGCUCGAAAGCGUGGGUAGCAAACAGGAUUAGAUACCCUGGUAGUCCGCGCCGUAAACGAUGAAUACUAAGUGUUGGAGGGUUUCCGCCCUUCAGUGCUGCAGCUAACGCAUUAAGUAUUCCGCCUGGGGAGUACGACCGCAAGGUUGAAAC